CCCGGUGACAACAGCAGGAGUGCCACACCCGUUCCCAUUCCGAACACGGUAGUUAAGGCUUCUGCGCCGAUGGUACUGCCGAGAAAGGCGAGAGAGUAGGUCAUUGCCGGGA
This 112-nucleotide ribosomal RNA is filed under the name Planctomycetota bacterium. Lineage: Bacteria; Pseudomonadati; Planctomycetota. The record is from RNAcentral.